Molecule: non-coding RNA, 111 nt
Organism: Paramuricea clavata
Lineage: Eukaryota; Metazoa; Cnidaria; Anthozoa; Malacalcyonacea; Plexauridae
Source: the annotation of a GenBank genome assembly
UAUUUUAAUAAAAUACAAAACAAGUGAAACUCCAAAAAUCGAUAACAUAGAAAUGUUAUCGAUUUUUUGGAGUUUCACGUGUUUUGUAUUUUACUCUGAGUGUAUAUCCAC